This 473-nucleotide ribosomal RNA is filed under the name uncultured bacterium. RNAcentral describes it as "bacterial SSU rRNA". It matches the Rfam family "Bacterial small subunit ribosomal RNA", at positions 335 to 799 of the family's 1533-position model. The record is from RNAcentral.
ACUCCUACGGGAGGCAGCAGUAGGGAAUCUUCCACAAUGGGCGCAAGCCUGAUGGAGCAACACCGCGUGAGUGAAGAAGGGUUUCGGCUCGUAAAGCUCUGUUGUUAAAGAAGAACACGUAUGAGAGUAACUGUUCAUACGUUGACGGUAUUUAACCAGAAAGUCACGGCUAACUACGUGCCAGCAGCCGCGGUAAUACGUAGGUGGCAAGCGUUAUCCGGAUUUAUUGGGCGUAAAGAGAGUGCAGGCGGUUUUCUAAGUCUGAUGUGAAAGCCUUCGGCUUAACCGGAGAAGUGCAUCGGAAACUGGAUAACUUGAGUGCAGAAGAGGGUAGUGGAACUCCAUGUGUAGCGGUGGAAUGCGUAGAUAUAUGGAAGAACACCAGUGGCGAAGGCGGCUACCUGGUCUGCAACUGACGCUGAGACUCGAAAGCAUGGGUAGCGAACAGGAUUAGAUACCCUGGUAGCCCGAUG